ACCCUUCGAUACGCUGGGCGGCACGCGCGCUACAAUGAGCUUGUUAGAAUGUGGCUUGUCCGUUGUGGAUUAGCGAAUCAUUAAAUGAGUCUCUUGAAUGGGAUAGUUAUCUGCAAUUUCUCAACUUGAAAGAGGAAUCCCUUGUAAAUGCGUUUGAGAACAGCGCUUUGAAUACGUCCCUGUGGAAUGUACACACCGCCCGUCGUUUCUUCCGACUGAUAUUCAAUGUGAAUUGCGAGGAGUUCUGCGAAUCGCCGUAAACAUUGAAUAUUGGAGGAAGAAAAAGUCGUAACA
RNAcentral lists this ribosomal RNA (294 nucleotides) under uncultured eukaryote. Its description in RNAcentral is "partial 18S ribosomal RNA". It matches the Rfam family "Eukaryotic small subunit ribosomal RNA", at positions 1469 to 1796 of the family's 1831-position model. The record is from RNAcentral.